This 296-nucleotide unclassified non-coding RNA is filed under the name Hevea brasiliensis (rubber tree). The record is from RNAcentral. Lineage: Eukaryota; Viridiplantae; Streptophyta; Magnoliopsida; Malpighiales; Euphorbiaceae.
GCAUUUCCUUGUGGUCACCAACCAAGUCCUGGCCAAAGAAUUACAGACCGAGAAAAAAGACACAGUAUUUACUUGCAAUAGUGGAGCAAAUAAUCAAGGACUGUUUAUGAUACAGGGCUCGUACUGUUCCCUCUCACAUGUUGCGGCAACAUCAAUGGCUUUGGGGCAGCUGUAUUUUUCUCUCUGGUGGACACAUUUCGACAGAUUCGUUUCACUGAAGCAGACAAGGUUUCAUUUGUAAAUAUCUAACUUAAUAGAAGCAUAAGGAAGUUGCUGUCUAGAAAGCUGAUGAAUGG